CAGUCGCCGCGGGAAUACGAAGGGUGCAAGCGUUACUCGGAAUUACUGGGCGUAAAGCGUGCGUAGGUGGUGGUUUAAGUCCGUUGUGAAAGCCCUGGGCUCAACCAGGGAAUUGCAGUGGAUACUGGGUCACUAGAGUGUGGUAGAGGAUAGUGGAAUUUCCGGUGUAGCAGUGAAAUGCGUAGAGAUCGGAAGGAACAUCCGUGGCGAAGGCGACUAUCUGGGCCAACACUGACACUGAGGCACGAAAGCGUGGGGAGCAAACAGGAUUAGAUACCCCCGUAGUCCCUGUCUCUUAUAC
Molecule: ribosomal RNA, 301 nt
Filed under: uncultured bacterium
Lineage: Bacteria
Description: partial 16S ribosomal RNA
Rfam family: Bacterial small subunit ribosomal RNA
Source: RNAcentral